Molecule: ribosomal RNA, 491 nt
Filed under: uncultured bacterium
Lineage: Bacteria
Description: partial 16S ribosomal RNA
Rfam family: Bacterial small subunit ribosomal RNA
Source: RNAcentral
GAUGAACGCUGUCUACAGGCUUAACACAUGCAAGUCGAGGGGAAACGACGGGGAAGCUUGCUUCCCCGGGCGUCGACCGGCGCACGGGUGAGUAACGCGUAUCCAACCUGCCUCUGACUGAGGGAUAACCCGUCGAAAGUCGGCCUAAUACCUCAUGGCAUCGUCUGCGGGCAUCCAACGACGAUUAAAGAUUUCAUCGGUCAGGGAUGGGGAUGCGUCUGAUUAGCUUGUUGGCGGGGUAACGGCCCACCAAGGCUACGAUCAGUAGGGGUUCUGAGAGGAAGGUCCCCCAGAAUGGAACUGAGACACGGUCCAAACUCCUACGGGAGGCAGCAGUGAGGAAUAUUGGUCAAUGGGCGGGAGCCUGAACCAGCCAAGUAGCGUGCAGGAGGACGGCCCUAUGGGUUGUAAACUGCUUUUAUGCGGGGAUAAAGUGAGGGACGUGUCCUUCAUUGCAGGUACCGCAUGAAUAAGGACCGGCUAAUUCCGUG